UCCUACGGGAGGCAGCAGUGGGGAAUUUUGGACAAUGGGCGCAAGCCUGAUCCAGCCAUGCCGCGUGUAUGAAGAAGGCCUUCGGGUUGUAAAGUACUUUUGUCAGGGAAGAAAAGCCUGGGGAUAACACCCUCAGGUCAUGACGGUACCUGAAGAAUAAGCACCGGCUAACUACGUGCCAGCAGCCGCGGUAA
RNAcentral lists this ribosomal RNA (194 nucleotides) under uncultured bacterium. RNAcentral describes it as "partial 16S ribosomal RNA". It matches the Rfam family "Bacterial small subunit ribosomal RNA", at positions 337 to 523 of the family's 1533-position model. The record is from RNAcentral.